RNAcentral lists this ribosomal RNA (711 nucleotides) under uncultured bacterium. RNAcentral's name for it is "bacterial SSU rRNA". It matches the Rfam family "Bacterial small subunit ribosomal RNA", at positions 60 to 816 of the family's 1533-position model. The record is from RNAcentral.
AGUCCGACGAAGCCUUCGGGCUUAGUGGCGGACGGGUGAGUAACGCGUGAGAACCUCCCUUCAGGAUGGGGACAACCGUUGGAAACGACGGCUAAUCCCCAAUGUGCCGAGAGGUGAAAGGGUUUCCGCCUGAAGAAGAGCUCGCGUCCGAUUAGUUAGUUGGUGAGGUAAGAGCUCACCAAGGCAGCGAUCGGUAGCUGGUCUGAGAGGAUGAGCAGCCACACUGGGACUGAGACACGGCCCAGACUCCUACGGGAGGCAGCAGUGGGGAAUUUUCCGCAAUGGGCGAAAGCCUGACGGAGCAACGCCGCGUGCGGGAAGAAGGCUCUUGGGCUGUCAACCACUUUUCUCAGGGAAGAAGUUCUGACGGUACCUGAGGAAUCAGCCUCGGCUAACUCCGUGCCAGCAGCCGCGGUAAUACGGAGGAGGCAAGCGUUAUCCGGAAUUAUUGGGCGUAAAGCGUCCGCAGGGGGCGCAUCAAGUCUGCUGUUAAAGGCUGGAGCUUAACUCCGGUAGAGCGGUGGAAACUGGUGCGCUAGAGGGCGACAGGGGUAGAGGGAAUUCCCAGUGUAGCGGUGAAAUGCGUAGAGAUUGGGAAGAACACCGGUGGCGAAAGCGCUCUACUGGGUCGCACCUGACCCUCAGGGACGAAAGCUAAGGUAGCGAAAGGGAUUAGAUACCCCUGUAGUCUUAGCCGUAAACGAUGGAUAC